AUAUGAGAAUUCAUGAGUUUCUUGUAAAGCAAAGUAAUGUGGAGAUUAGCAAUAUA
Molecule: transfer RNA, 56 nt
Filed under: Oribatula sp. XFX
Lineage: Eukaryota; Metazoa; Arthropoda; Arachnida; Sarcoptiformes; Oribatulidae
Description: tRNA-Tyr
Source: RNAcentral